This 35881-nucleotide long non-coding RNA is filed under the name Brachypodium distachyon (stiff brome). RNAcentral describes it as "long non-coding RNA (BDIS_LNC003859)". The stretch from base 17497 to 17612 matches the Rfam family "MIR5070 microRNA precursor family". The record is from RNAcentral. Lineage: Eukaryota; Viridiplantae; Streptophyta; Magnoliopsida; Poales; Poaceae.
UUGGAAAUCAACUAGACACAUAUUUAGGCAGGCGCCGCAACGAUAUCCGCAGGAAAAAAGAAUUCGCGGUGGAUGGCGAGAGCCAGCAAGCAUGCAACCAAAGCCGGCCACGCGCAUCUAUCCACUCUCGCCAAACAUGUCACUACUCACUACCGGAUUGACGUCUGGGGAACGGACAAUAUAUACGGCUGAUGGAUGGGUGCGCAUGCCUUGGUUUGACGAAAGAAGCUUGGAAACUAAGCAUGCCCAUGUACGUACGCACCACGCCACACCGAUCAGGACGUGCCGGAAACGGCCGGCGGUAGCUAGCGAGCUUUUUUUUUACGGUGCUAGCAAAGCUAAUUAAGCUGGUCAACGAGCCGCGCAAGCUUUGUAUGACCGGGUAAAGAAAAGCCGGACGCGCGCGCGCGUGUACGUGCGAACGCGAAAGUGAUGACAUCUCGCUAGCUUAGCUUCUUCGGCCGGCCGGGCCACGCCCCUUGCAUUGCGUUGCGUUGCGUCGUCUGGUCAAUUGUUCCACGGUCGGUUAUGGGGUAGGGACACGGGCAUCUUUGAUUAUCUCGGUUUAUUGUUUGCUACUCUCCAAGUACGUAAUGCCAGUGCGAACAUUGUGGCUGUGGUGCAGGGGAUGACGAAGGCGGUGGACAAACUCUCAGUUCGUGAGGAUGUGGGUCAGCAAGAAGCAGGAGACGGGGAUGGAGAUAUUGCACGACUGACACUGGGCCAGACUGAGGUUGGCAUCAACAAUCCACUGCCAAAUCAAGCGCCGCACGAGUCUGGUAUGCAGAAGGAAAAAAUGCUGAGGAAGAAGUUGCUGAAAAAGAAGAGAUGGGCUGCGGCUUCACGGGCGCCCGGAAGCUUUCUGGAGGCAAAGGAAUUGAUCCUGGGGAAGAAAAGGGAGUACGCGGAAGAGGACAUACAGCUGCCGAUAGAGGAGAAAGAAGCGGAAGAGCAGCAGAACCAUGAGGUGCUCCCAGAUGAGGUGGAGGCACCUACUGCCAAGAAGACAAAGCACACUAGAGAUGGGACACAGAGGAGCGUUAAGGAGGAUGGGAGUGCGACCAGCCUUGGGGCCGCUGGCGAACUGACGGAGCCUGAUGAGCUCCGUCAGGAGCCAUGAAUUUUCUGGCCUAGAACUGUCGUGGACGGGGGAAUACCACGACAGUUCGUGAGCUGGUAGGUUUUUCCUAAAAAUUGCAGCUACAGUUAGUGUUUUUGUGUGAGACGAGGCAGAAUAAAGAUAAAGUUAGUCGCCGCCUCCGUAAUCGUUUAGGUUUGUCGGAUUUUGCUGGAGUUGAUAGUGAGGGUACGAGUGGGGGUCUGGCACUAUUUUGGCAUGAGCAGUUCGAUGUCGAUGUAAUUUCCCUGAAUAAAAACUUUAUUGAUGUUUAUAUCCGUGUCUCCUCUGAUGCUCCUCAGUGGAGGCUGUCUUGUAUAUAUGGUGAGCCGCGGACUGAGGAUAGAGGUCAGGUCUGGGCUGAGCUGUGUAAUAUGCGAAGCAAAUCUGCCCUGCCGUGGUUGGUCAUGGGGGAUUUCAAUGAGUCUCUUUGGCAAUGUGAACAUCUGUCAGCGUGUCCGCGCCCUGAAUAGCAAAUGAGGGCCUUCAGAGAUACACUGUAUAAUUGUGGUCUGAUGGAUCUGGGGUACUCCGGUGUACCGUUCACAUAUGACAAUAGAAGAUCUGGAACCAGGAAUGUCAAGGUGAGACUUGACCGAGCUGUGGCGGAUGAUGAGUGGAGGGACAUGUUUGGUCAUGCCAGGAUUGAACAUCUGAUUUCCCCGUGCUCGGAUCACAACCCGAUCCUUGUCAGAGUGGAAGAGGAUAAAGCCAUGGGGCCUAGGAAAUUAAGCAGACAGUACGAGCUUUUUUGGGAAAGAGCUGCUGAGCUGCCGGAACUAAUUUCUGAGGCCUGGAGGGAGACGCAGGCGGCAGGUGAUUUGGGCAGGAUUUUUUCCGGGCUUGAAGAGGUUAUGAGGAAACUGCAGUCGUGGAGUAAAGGCAAAUUUGGUAACAUUACAAAGGAGCUGGACACCGAGAGGGACAGAUUGUCACGGUUGUAUUUGAACAAUGCUGAUGCUAGAGAGAUCAGGAAGGUCAAUGACCGUAUCAAUGAGCUUCUCUACCAAGAGGAACCGCUGUGGAUGCAGAGCUCACGUAUCGACUGGAUUAAAGCGGGUGAUCGAAAUACCAAAUUCUUUCACCAAAAAGCUGUUUGGAGAGCUAAACAGAAUAAAACUGGGAAAUUAUGCGAUGAGAACAAUAACUGGGUUGAGGACACGCCUACGUUGGAGAAGAUGACCACCGAUUAUUUUCGAAAGAAUUUUAAACAAGGACCAGAGUUUAGACCCAAGACCGAUUGUUGAAAUCCUGGAGCAUAAAAUCUCAGAGGAUAUGAACAAGCAGCUGUGCAAGGAGUUCACAAGGAAGGAAAUUGGGGAUGCUUUGUUUCAAAUUGGGCCGCUUAAAGCGCCGGGGCCGGACGGUUUCCCAGCUAGGUUCUAUCAGCGUAAUUGGGCUGUCCUUGAGGAGGACGUGGUCCAGGCUGUGUUGGGCUUCUUUAGUUCUGGCCAGAUGGCGAAGGGAGUAAACAACACUUCUAUUGUGUUAACUCCAAAGGUGGCCCAGCCCAAAACCCUGAAGGAUUUUCGGCCCAUCUCACUUUGCUCAGUGUUGUACAAAAUUGUGGCCAAAUGUUUGGUCAACAGAUGGAGGCCGCUGCUGGAUGAGAUAAUAUCGGAGAAUCAGAGUGCCUUUGUGCCGGGACGCCUUAUCACAGACAAUGCUUUGAUCGCCUUUGAGUGCUUCCAUUUUAUCGAGCAUAGUAAUAACCAGAAUAACCAAUUUUGUGCGUACAAAUUGGACCUGUCGAAGGCCUAUGACAGGGUUGAUUGGGAUUUCCUCCGUCUAACACUGGACAAGGUGGGUUUUGCAAAGAAAUGGAUUGAUUGGAUUAUGGCUUGCGUCACAACAAUUAACUAUUCUGUCAAGUUUAACGGCGUGCUCCUGGAGGCGUUCACGCCCACCCGGGGACUGAGACAAGGGGACCCACUUUCUCCUUUCUUGUUCCUGUUUGUGGCUGAUGGCCUUUCGGCGAUCCUGAAAAGGGAAGCUAGACUGAAUAAUAUUGCGCCGCUGAAGAUUUGCAGAAGUGCGCCUGCGGUGUCACAUCUUCUUUUCGCCGAUGAUACUCUGCUCUUUUUUAAGGCGGAGGCCGAACUAGCAAAGACAGUGUAGCAAGUUCUCAACAGCUAUGCUUGCGGCACUAGACAACUGAUUAAUUUCUCUAAAUGCUCCUUGUUGUUUGGGAAAGAGUGUGAUGCGGGCACAAUUCAGGAGGUUAAGAAUAUACUCCAAGUGGAUCAAGAGGGAUUUGAGGCCAAGUAUCUGGGGUUGCCAACUCCAGAAGGGAGAAUGAAUAUGGGAAAGUUCCAGACUUUGCAAGAGAAGCUUAGUAAAAAGGUGCUGCAAUGGGGUGACAAUAGACUCGUAGGGUGGGAAAGAGGUGAUGAUCAAAGCGGUAGCACAAGCCAUUCCUACGUACGUCAUGGGGGUGUUCAAGUUGCCUACGGGUUUAUGUGAAGACCUAACAAAGAUUAUCAGGGAUUUUUGGUGGGGAGCGGAGCAUGGGAAAAGGAAAACCCAUUGGGUGGCUUGGAACGCCCUGCUCCGGCCAAAGAAUAUGGGAGGGCUGGGCUUUAGAGACAUGGAAACUUUUAACCAAGCCCUCCUGGCCAGGCAAGCGUGGCGUUUGAUUGAUAAGCCCGAGUCCUUUUGUGCUAGAGUUCUGAAAUCUAAGUAUUAUGCCCAUGGAUCGCUGGUGGAUACCGUCUUCACUGAGAAUGCUUCUUUCUCUUGGCAAGCGAUCGAGCAUGGCCUCGAACUGAUUAAGAAUGGUGUCAUUUGGAGAAUAGAUAACGAGCAGAGUGUGCGCAUUUGGAGAGAUCCAUGGAUCCCGCGUGAUUAUGGCAGACGUCCAAUAACACCAAAGAGAAAUUGCCGACUCAAAUGGGUUUCUGAACUGAUGACUCCUGACGGCAACUGGAACAUGGAGAUUUUGACUACUUUCUUUUUCCCGAUGGAUAUUGAUUAUAUUGUCAGGAUUAAACCAUCGCCAAGAAACGAUUGCGACUUCUUAGCUUGGCAUCCGAACAAAAGAGGACAUUUCUCGGUGCGGUCUGCUUACCAUCUUGGUCGCACCCUGGCUACUGCUGGACAGAGUUCCGGAGCUACGAGUAGUAGGCCGGAUGGAUCCAACACAAAAUGGGAAGCCAUCUGGAAUGAGAUUGUGCCGAGGAAGGUUAAUAUCUUUGCUUGGAAGCUUGCAAGGGACGCCCUCCACACUGAAGUUAAUUUUUGCAAGCGAAAAAUGAGGAAGUUUGCUACUUGUAGGAUUUGUGGUGCAGAUCAGGAGGAUUCUUUUCACGCCUUAGUACGUUGCCCCAAUGCCCGUGGUCUGUGGCAGACCAUCAAGGAGUGCUAGGAUUUGCCGGACGUAAAGGAGUGGCAGCAUUCAGGCCCUGACUGGUUCCUGGAGGCUAUCUCCGACAUGGAUCAGGUGAAGGCUGCAAUGUUAUUCAUGCUGCUUUGGCGCAUUUGGCACGUACAUAAUGACAUCACGCAGGAUAAGGUCCCUGCCCCGGUUGAGGCAUCGAAGCGCUUCCAAUGCAGUUACAUGGAUUCCCUGUUGAUUAUCAAGCAACACCCUGAGGUUGAGGUGGUCAAGGGCAAGCAGGUGGCCUCUUAUUCUGCCAGAUCGAUGAAACAUAAAAAUCGAACCGGUCAGAAAGCUGCUACGGAUGACAUAUGGAUCCCACCGGACGUGGACUCUGUCAAAUUGAGCGUUGAUGGAUCUUUUUCACCGGAUGAUGGCUCUGCUGGUGUUGGUCUGGUGCUACGGGACCAUCAAGGAGAAAUCAUUAUCUCGACAUGUUGAAGUAUCCAAUGGUGCAAUGAUGCCCUUGAGGCUGAGCUUCUGGCAUGCGAGGAAGGCCUUCGUGCGGCCAUUGGGUGGUCUGACAAGAUCAUCAUCCUUGAGUCUGACUGUGCCGAGGCCCUCUCUCUGAUUAGUGCCAAGUUACCACAUAGAUCACCGUAUGUCCUGUGUGUGCGGGAGAUCCGAAGACUUUUUGAUGCGCACCCAAUCAGUGUGGGCAAGAUUAAUAGGAACCAAAAUUGUGUCAGCCACAUCCUGACGAACCUUGCUAGGAGUAAUAAUUAUACCUCUAGUUGGAUCCGGCAUGAGCCGGACCAGAUCUUAGACGCCAUGAUCUCGGACUGUAAUCGUUUUAACUGAUUAAUGAAGUUUCUUUUUAAAAAAAAAGUACGUAACGUCAUCGGCCGACCUGCCAAAAGAGAUAUCGAUCGAUCUCGAACUCUCCACGUACGGUAGGUGGUAGGCAAGGAUCGGGCCGGGUGACCUCAGGUAUACUGGCUUCUCAACCACUGCCGUCGCUCUUGCGUCCCGGCCGGAUAUGAUCGAUAUGGUUUCUAUCUGUCGUGGCUAGAUACUUGCAUUAAAUUUUACAUAGACAACAUUUCAGUAUCAUAUCAUAAUGAGCACCCGAUCGAAGUACCCAAGCAAGCUGUAGCUAUCACUGCCAUGAGGCAGCCAGAACUUCAUGGUCGUGGGAUUCGGUGAUGAGACGAAUUCAUGAGAUUAGCUUAGUUUAAACCGUACAUGGCUCAGCGGUUGCAUCCAGGAGAGACGUACGGCACGUGACAACGGCAGGCGCGGGCAGCUAGCUAGCUACCCAUGGGCCAAGACCCAACAACUUCGCCAUUUUCUGCUAUACAGUAUAUAUCACUUUGAUGCGUGCAAGGACGUACUAACAAAUGGCCAGCCGGACUGGUGAAAGGAUAGAAAAGCCUGUGCACGUACUGAGAUAUGCGCUUUUACUCCCUGUUCACGCUGCACAGAGCAUGGCCACAACGUUUAAUUUCACUCGCCCGGUUCCAGCAGACAGCAUCGAUCCGGCCGGGCCAGACUUGGGUUUUACCCAGCGCGCAUGCAUUUGUGUCCCCCCACUCCAACGCUUCUUUGACCCCAUCAUGGCGUGCAUGCACCCCCUGCGCAGAUUCGAGAUUCCAUGCGUGCAUGUCCCCAUAUAUGUCUCGCAUCGAUCACAUCUCCUCACGCCCCGUACGUCUGGCUACGUACUGUGCAUUCUCUGAAGCACGAACGCAGCAGGCAAGCAAGCGUCGGCCGGCCGGUCAUUAACCGAGUGCCUAACAACAUGAUGAUCUCCAUAUAUAUCCCAGGGUUAAUCGCGCGCCGGCCGGCCACGUUCGAAAAGACUGAAACCACGCACGCACACCGGCUGGGAAACGAUCGACCAUCGUACGGUGGCCACACGGCACGAAAAGCCGAAAGUACUGCCCGUGCACGCGUGCCCACUGCUCACCCGGCCCGGACCGAUCGGUGAAUCGAAUCUACAGCGCCACCGUGGUAGCCAAUGGGCCAUCACGACUUUCUAGUUCUCGUCGGCUGGGAUCCACCGGGAAGAGAGGCAGCUUUUCUUUCUUACUUGGCUCAUGAGUACGCGCCAGAUACUGGAGUAUUUACUGGAGUACUCGCUGCCGUUGUGCCAGUGACCUGGGCAGCAGCCGGGGAUGGUACGGACAUGGUCUGUUCCCCUCCACAAUCCUGGCCUGCACUGCAUGUACAGCUCGAUCGCUCAGCUAAAGGAGAAGGCACAGUACUACUGCCACUACUAUGCAAAGUUUUAUGCAUGCAUGGCUGCCGGCCGGUCGCUGGCUGGCAACGAAACAUCAAACCAAUGCACCAUCCAUGCACACACCCUGACACGCAGCUUCUGCAUGCAGAGAGAGAGGGGGGGGGGGGGGGGGGGUAGGAGGGGAUCAUUGACACAGGUCCCUGGCAGCCUGUGGUGUCGCGCGCGCAAGGAGGCCCAUCUUUGCAGCUGCAUGCCAAUACGCCAUGCAUUGCAUCCCGUCGUGGCGAAUACGCCAUGCAUUGCAUCCCGUCGGGGCGUCCUACCAUGUCCCUGCCACGUACGGCCAGCUAGAGUGCCAGCAAAUUAACAGAGUACCGUCAAUGAGGUAAAAUGAUCGAUCGAUCAAGGUGCACUGUCACUACGCCGUGGGGGGGCCACCACCACGCCGAAACUAAAAUUCAUUGCCUUGUAACCAGUACUAGCUAGCUAAGGCACCGAGUAGUGCUACUAGGUACUUAGCCAUGCAUAUGCAUCUACCCACCGAGAUUGUAAUUUUCUCGGUCUGACUUAGAAAUAGUUGUUCACCAGUCGACGGUAUAUCAUAUCGAUUCGAUUAUGAUUUCUUAAUUACUUGUACUUGUAUAAAUCUUGCACCAAUAUCAGUUAUUUGAUCGGAUAGUCCACUCACAAAUAGUUGUUUAUCAGUACUUAUAUAAAUCUUGCACUAAUAUCUGUUAUUUGAUCAGAAAAUUGGUAUCAUGAACUUAGUUAUUUCUCGGUCCCCUAGAAGUAGCAAAGCCGUAAAAAAAGAAAAACGGAUUUUUUAUUGAUGAAUUGUCUGUUUUUUAGUUAGAAACAAAUCGACGUGCUUGGCCAGCAUCAGAUCUUAAUCCAACGGCAGCAUAUUGGAGAAGAGAUAUUAGAGAUGACUCUAUGAUCUCAAUCCAGCGAUUCUGAUGAGAUUUAAAACUUUUGCUUCAAACCAGCCAACUGAGAUAUAUAUCCACAUCCAAACAAAAACUCAUCACUUACACGUUUCACCCUCCCAUUAGUUACAAAUCGCCCUUAUAAUUCCUUCGUGCAUGCCAUGGUACAAAUGAAAUUGGUCGGAGAGAAGAGAUCUUAGAGAUGUGUCGUCUUUGUGCGCUAUGUGAUCGAUCGAUCGAUCGAUAUGCAUGCAUGCAUGCAUGGGCAAACGCAAUAUCGAUCGAUCAUUCAUUCACACCCGUCCCGCGACACGCGGUACACACUAUAUAUGCACUGUGCAUUAGUAGCUAGUAGCAAUGAUCGCAUAUUCGCAUCGGGUGCGGACUGUGGCUCCUAGCCAUAGCAGCACUACUGCGCACGAUUUACGUACACUACGUUAGUAAUUACUCCAACCCAGGACCAGACAAAUGCAGGCGAGGCCAGGCAAUUCAUCGAUCGUUCGAGAUCACGAGGCCGCGGCCGGACCGGCACGGCACGGGCACAGCUGGCACUGCGCUGAUGCGUGGUGUAUACAGUAGCUGCCAUCACGUAUGUCACAUAACGUGGUAUAGCAAUGGUCCCCGGCCGGCCGACGGUGCGUGCAGCUAGCGUAGCCGACCCGUUCCAAGCGCGGACCGAUCAUAUCGGUCGGUCUCCGUCGGUCGAUCGGGCUCCCUCGGGCGCGUGCGUUGAUCGGUCGCACAGGCAAGCAGCACGUAAGGCGAUAGCAACCACUCGUUCGGACGUGCCACCGUCGCCUAGACUAGAUGGGACGGGAAAUUUUCAGUAGAUGCAUCGGCCCCAUGCAUGCUCUGUGCGUGCACGUCUUCCACGGCACACGGAACGAUCCGUCGCUAUAUAUGGAAGGCCGCCGGAAACUAACAAGCCAGCAGUCACGGGACACGGGCUGUACGUGCGUGGCAUAGACGUCCGUAGGUACUGGCUACGCGAUUUCCUAGGUGUGGACGGCCGGACACGCCGGGGAGAGAGAGUCAGAUCAGGGGGCCAUGUACGAGCGCGCUUUAUAUUUCCUGGCAACGUACGGCCGAGCGAGAUCGGACCGCACUCGACGGACCUAGCUUAGCGAUGCCCCGUGGCUAUAUCCUGCGAAUACGACUUUACCUCACCAUAAUUUGAUAGAUAUGCUCUCUAGCUAUAGCUAGACCGUGUAGCAUGCAUGCGAAUGCGAAGCAUAUGAUUAUCAGCGCACGACGCAUUUGACCAGGAGGGCAGAACGGAAACUGACAAUUCAAGGGAGGGGGAAAAAAAGCAAGUCGCCUACGGAUGAUAGUGCACGUAUAUAGGAUAAUGUUAGGCAUACACAUGAUUGCCACUUAACAAAUCAAUCUACUGUAGGCCGUUCAAAGCCACGUCACUGCAUGCGCGCGCGAUGGAUGGAUCUGUCAUACAAAUUCCACCAUUUCUGGCCCAGGGAAACGGAAAUCCGAGAUGGGGGAUCAGGCGUACUAUACGCGUUAAUCGCAAGCCUUGUCUCUUUGCGCGCACAUUGAUCUGCAGGUGGCCUGCUCGUACUGCGCGUCACGAUCCACAACGAAAUUCAAGGAGCAGAUUCAUUAGAAUUAGGAUACUAGCUACCAGUUGUGCGCGUUCUAGAAAAGAGAUCACUCUCGCCAGCUACUUUAGUUAACUCGCAACUAGUAGUACGGUGUAACAUGAUGUUAUGUGAUGCAGAUUUAUAUAUACUCUGAGUUUUGGAGCAUCCACGACUCUAAUUUGUUAAUUGUUUUUUCAUGUCAGACACAAAAACAAAUCCCCUUGGAGUAGAUUUUCGUUUACGUAUUGUUUAUUCAACACUUCUACGUACAAAAAGGCACCUCAGAUAUGACGAGGUGAAUGCAUACGCUGUUGGCUGGUACUGGUUCAUGUGGCACCGUUCACCUCGCUCCUGUUUUUUUCUUUCGAAAAGGCGAAACUCCCCGCCUCCCCGGCAUCUGCAUCAUCACCUCACUCCUGGUGCGUGAGCUGUUGAAGUAGACAUCACCGUCCAGAGGCGCCGAUGACAUGACACGACUGUGGAUUAGGGCAGAGCCAAUACACAGUGCGUGUGGCAGGGUGUGAUCACGCUGUUCCCGUUGCGGAUUUUAAUGCACCCGGAAAACAAGGUAAAAGUUGAAAGGAAAAAAAGAAGUGCUGAAAAACGGCACGAGGAGCGCAGAUGGAGUGAUGGACGCGGGCGAUAUGAUGAUAUCCGUGCCAAUCUAUGGUCCACCGACACCUGCCGUAGCAGUGCUCAACUACUGGUACGUGACCUCCGAUCGAUUCAAGGUGGCAAGGACGAGCAGCAUGCAGUCACGACCACUCGUACUGCUAAGAUGAUCCCUCAGGCUCUCAUCGAUGCCAGCCGUGCAUGCAGUUGCUCGCCACACCGGACACCACAGCAGUGACCAACACUGUGCUGAUGUGUACAUACAUGCACCAGCACAUAAAUGCCACUCGAAGCGUUUCACAGGAAAGGGAACCGGCUGCACUGUUCUUUUUUUUUUUCUUCCUCCAGAAGCCAUGUGCGAAAUUGAAUUACCCCGAUCGAUACUGGACGUACAUGCAUGUACCGCCUCUAUAUAGAAAGAGAAACGGACGGCUGGUAGUAUAUAGUAGUACUGGCGCGACCCGGUGGCAGGGAAGGAAUACGUACGCGUAAGUAGCGGCACAUGCAGAGAGACAGUAGAAGCUGGUGAAAACUAUCGUUAAAUAUUCAGUUUUGGCAAGUCGUCUGGCCAGACUAUCCAGCUGCGCAGCGCAUCACGCAUGAUGUACUAUCAUCCUCCAAUUAAUACGGGGCACGGUGGAGCAGCACUAGUGUCACCUCGAUCAGGUACUACUGCUGCCAAUCUGUCAUUUAUACUUGGUGUUGCUCGGAUCGGAUUCGCACCGGCACUUAAAUGCGCCCAAUAUAUGUAUGCACUGGGUGGUGGGUCAGGGUUACCACGGCGUCGCCCCUCAACCGCCGGGCUCGAUUACCGGACCUCACGAGGAGUUGGCUCUUGCGCUGCGGCCGGAAAUGCAUGCAACGGAAGACUCCUAAAGUCGACGUAUGGUCAUCAUCCUACGGUAAACGAAAUGUACGGCGUGGUGGGCUCGAUUGACAGUGAGAUGGUGGAUGGCACGGCACAUCCUCCGGUAUGGUAGCUUGACCUUUCUUCUUUUUUGCUUUGUGAAUUCAAUACGCCGUCAAACUGAUGCUACUCGCGAAAACAGAGAUGUGGUUUAGGCUAAUCUAAUGAGUUGCGCAGGGUAUGGCUUUGGCCGCUUUGGUCUACCCAAAGACUGACGUGCAACCACAACCAUUCCCCGGAGGCCGGUGCAAAUUCACAUGAGAAGGAAAGUGAGGUUACCUUUGUGUGGUUACCAUAUCUUCCCCGCCCAGAUAGCCUACGGUCAAUGCUAAGCUGUCGUCUUCACCAUAGGAAACUCGUAGAGAUCCACACCCAGUCACUUUUCCUUCCCGUAAAGAAAUAUCGAUAUACUAACCACAAUGCAAAUAAAGCAUCGAGCAGUAGCACCCCAGAGGCGGGUGGUCCCAGUGUCCUCUUCCCGAAUCCCACGUCUCGUCUCGUCUCGUCUCCCCCCAUCGCUGCGUGCCUGCGUCGGAAAGCAGGAGCAAAGCCCGGACGAAUAUGGCAAGCGAUCAAAUUAUUAAAGCGGUGAGAAGAGAAAAAGAAAAAAGAUGGAAAAGUCAAGGGGGGGCAUCUAUCCACCCACGCAUCCGUGGUUGUUUGCUUGCCUGUUUGUCCACUCUCCCCGUAGGCCAGCCAUAGCCCCACCUCGUCAAGAGAGAUCGUCAAGAUGAACAACCUUUGUCCCCUUUAAUGGCCACCCGGCCCGGACGGACCCCACGCCGACGCGACGCGCCUUUUCCUCCCACUCGCCGGGGCCGCUAACCCGAACGCCCUGCCCUGCUGCUGCCAUAUAUAUAACCUCGUCUUCCUCCCGUGCCGUUCUCCCAACUCACGAGAGUACGUGCGCCACAAAGUGCGGCGUGAAAAAGGAAAAGAAACCACCUCUCUCUCUCUCUCCCGUCCGUUCCAUCACUGCACCCCGCAACAAAACGCCAUCCUUCUUGAUUUCUUGAUCUGAGGUGGUGUUGUUGGUGGUGGUGGUGCUCCUGGUCCUAUUAGUGAAGCCGGCCGGUGCAUAGUGUGAGAUGGCCGUGCAGGCGCAGUACCUCGCCCACGCCUUCCCCCAUGACCCCCGCGCCAUCGUCAGGUCCGUCUCUCCUCCCUCCAUCCGUGUCGCGUGCAUGCGUUCUCUCUCUCUCUCGCACUCAUGCGCCUUGCGCUCCUCACCUUCCUUCCUCCCCCCGCUGUCUAUUUAUCCAUUCCGAGAAGAACUUCCCCAUGCCCGCCUUAUUACGGUUGUUGAUUCAUCCCUUCCUACGUUUCCUGUGUGUCUCACAGGCAGCCUGCUCUCGACAACGCCUCGGUGUUUCAGCUGGACGAUCGCAGCCUCGCCGCCGCGGUGCAGCAGCAGGCGGCGGCGGGCAACACGGUGUUUAGCGACCCGCGCAGCGAGCUCACCUGCAACCAACAACACAACGGCGAUACCGGUUUCUUCGUGCCGAGGAAGCGUGCGCGGGUGGGCGGCGACCACGGGACGCCGCCUUUGAUCAUGGAAGGGCAACGCGCGCUGCUGCCGCCGGUGCCGCAGGCGCGAAGCAGCAGCAGGGCCGUGGGCUCCGGCGCGGCCUCCACCAGCGGGCGCCCUUCCGUGCCGGCCGUCUCGCAGGGCCUCUUCGUGUCUCAUCUCUAUCGCCAGAGCGUCGAGAUCGACGCGCUCGUCCGCCUCGAGGUGCGCUGAUUUCCCGGCAACUUUGUUGAUUUGAUCAAGUUCCCCGUCUUCUUCCCCAACGGUGUUUGAUUCGGUGUUGGGGGAUCCUACGUACGUGCAGAAUGAGAGGCUGCGGGCGGGCCUGGAGGAGGCGCGGCAUCGGCACGUCCGCGCGGUCGUGUCUGCCGUGGAGCGCGCCGCGGCGCGGCGGAUGCGUGCUGCGGACGCCGAGCUGCAGCAGGCGCUGGGCCGCAACGCCGAGCUGGACGAGAAGCUCCGGCAGAUGGGCGCCGAGGGGCAGGCCUGGCUCGGCAUCGCCAAGAGCAACGAGACCGUGGCCGCCGGCCUCCGCGCCACGCUGGACCAGCUCCUGCAGUCGCCGCCCUGCGCCGAGGGGGGCGGCGACGCCGAGGACGCGCAGUCGUGCUGCUUCGUGAGUGACCGAGGAGGAGGAGGGAGGAAAGCGUGCAAGGCGUGCGGCGGCGCGGACGCGUGCGUGCUGCUGCUGCCGUGCCGGCACCUGUGCCUGUGCCGCGAGUGCGAAGCGGUGGCCGAGGUGUGCCCCGUGUGCGCGGCCACCAAGAACGCCUCGCUCCACGUUCUCCUCCCCUGACCUGGUGCGGCAGGCCAGCGUGUCAAUUCAGCUGCUCGUGAUAUCCAAGGUCUUUGUCACCGGCCCAAAUUACGGAAGUUGUUUAUUUUCUCCGGCCCUCCCUCCCUCUCUCUUUCUCUCGUCUCCAGUCUGGGUUUUUUCUGUGGAUUGUCUCCCAAGAUCGAUACCCAAUCCGGCCAUAUUUUCGUGGUACGGUAUUUGGAUCAGUGUUGUUGAAACGGUGAAUAUAUUUUAGUUUUGUCGUUGAGGCAAUUAAAUUAGUUCUUCGAGUCGUUUUCUCUUUGCUUGCGUUUUUCUAUAUACGCAGCAGGUGGGAUUUUGCUUAAUCAUCACUCCCCGUGAAUUGGUCUGCCACAAGAUGCUGCAAGCAAGCAUAAAUACAGUUUUCUUCAGUUCGCUAGGGGUGUUUUGCUAACACCAAGAUUAUACCCAAUCUAAACAGGCUUUUUGUCGUAUCGGCAUACUUGCUAGCAAUAAUUCCGCUGGUAACGCAAUGCAGUCUGCACUACUAAUUACUAUGGAUUAUUCUUUCGGUACGUUCACGUCGUUGUUUCGGUCAGAGACAAUUUUGUGAAGGUCGUGCGUGCAUGGACAGAUAAGUUCAGAAGUCACCGUACUUGUUUCUUUAUCCUACCUUGCUUGGCAAGCUUUCGCCCUGUCUCUACUUGCUAUAGCCAAGAGUCAGAGUAAACAUUUUUGGUUAGAUUGACGAUCGAAGAGAAAGGAUACAAUAAGCCAUGCGUUCAUGUAAAUCUCGAGCUAGUUACAGGCUUACUGAUAUAUGAGACGAUCAAUUUAGGCUUAACUAUAAUUCUAAAUGCUAAGUACUCCCCGCACGUUAUCCUGAAAAAUUAUGUUUUCACGUCUAGACAUGAUGUUAGAAACAAAUGAUAAUAUCAUAUGAUCAAAAUAUCAAAGAUAUAUGAAUACUCUAAGGCCAAACGACAUCAUCAUCCAAACGAUAGAAGCAAUUUUGAUGUACAUGAACAUUAACAACUUUAAGGAAAUCGAAACAGAAGCUUUAGGAUCCUAAAUAUUCGCAGUUUUUAGAAAGAACGACAUGCAUAUCAUGAAAAUAUGGAUACUCGGUGAAAUAUUUACAUCCAAUGUGGAGAUGAAAAAAUUUAGGAGAUAAAAGGUUGAAUCAUAGGAUUUUUUUUCGAAAAGGGGAAGAAUCCCCGGCCUCUUGCAUCAAUCGAUGCACACAGUCAUAUUUUAUUACGAAGUUAUAAGAGUCUUACAAAUCACUGAUUAGAUAUCGUGGAAACAAAAAUGAGCUAAUGAAACAAGUUCAACAUAGUGAGUCUAUGCAUCUAGAAGACGACUAAUACACUGCCAACCAGCCUGGCUGAAGAUAUCCCGAGAUACCAUCUCCAGACGGUUGCAUCCAAUAGCCAAAGGUUCCCGCCGAUGCGAGGAGGUAGGAAGGACCAUAGUCGAAUCUAAUGAGUGGCUUUGAAGAUGACCUGCAAAAAUGAGCAACUCUAGAUCGAUUAAAAACCACAUCGUUUCUGCAGUUCCAAAUAGCCCAAUAGAAAUCCGAAACUCCCAUCCAAAUAUAUAUGAGCUUUAAUCUUUUUCUCAACCCCAUUAAGCCAAUUCCCAAACAUAUUAGUAAUCAAUGUCGGUGGAGGAAUAUUAAAAGCAAUAAAAAUAAUGCGCCAGACAAUACGAGCAAAAGGACAGGAAAUAAAAAGAUGUUGAAUACUCUCGUCAGAGUGAAUCAUAGGUAGCCGAAAUGAAUUGCUUGUGGGCUACAACACAUGACGUGGAUGGUGAUGUAGACACUUUGCAUGUGGAACUUGCAAACAAAAUGCAUUUUAGUGAGUAUCAACUAUAUAGAUAUUAUACUUGAUGAAUAUUUACAUGCAACAUGAAGAUCAAAAAUCAUAGGAGAUAAAAGGUUUAGUCGUAGGACCACCGAAAUGAAUUGCUUGUGGGCUAGAGUCCUAUGACACAUGAUGUCGAUGGUGAUGUGGACGAUGAUGUGGAGACUUUCAUGUAUAGUUUGCAAUUUUAGUGGGGAUAACCUUUUAAAAAAAAAAACGUUACCAUAAUAUACUACUGGUUGUUAUGUGCAUCAAUCGAUUCGGGCCGAAGGGAUCCCCAGUUUUGGAAUUUUUUUUUUUUUGUAAAUCUCGAACUUCAACUGGGUAUGGAAUCACCUGAUUUUAGAGGAAAAAUCAGUCUCCCAUCUAUCAUCAGGACGUAGUUCGAAGGAAUCCAGAUCAUAAUUGGAGAAACAUAUAUGAUGCACUGUGAAUUGGACUUCUAGUGCACUCGAAUUGAUUUAUUAUAUUUUUAUAAUAUUGUAAAUAAGGAAAACAAGACAAAAAACAACAUUUACGUGAUAUGGUCCAAAUUUUUAAAAUUUAAAUUUGAAACACGUAGGUUGAGAAACAAAAUUACAUAUCCUUUUGUUAAUUAUAGGUAGCCUAAUUGGGUUGCGAAUUUGAUCCAACUAAUACUACGAACAAGACAAAAUUUCUCUCUUUGUGCUUCUUGAACCCUGUUUGGAAAUUGGAUUGUGUCUGUUUCUGGUUCAUAAUUUUGCAAUGGUUGUAGAGUGAACAAUCGAUGUUGGAUAUGACGGUGCAUGUUUUCAUCAUAGAAAGUACAUGUAAAUGUAACCUCGUGACGUUCAACUAGACUACUAUGCACUGUUCUCUACCUAAGCUUACUGUGUGAACUUAACAGUCGAUGGAGCUCUACGUCUCCUCUCCAUCUUCCUCCUCCCUCGCCGCCCCUUUGUUCAUAUCCUCUCCUUGUAGUGUCAUUUUUUUUCUCUUUCUCGCCGCCGCCUCCACCCAUCCCAUGCUCUCUUCAGCACAAAAUCAGAGCCAUCCCUUCGACACAAGAUCUGACGCAGAUUCUCUGACUAAACACACUGAAAUGCCAAUGACCCAAAGUCAUGGUGGGUUAAGUCAGAGAUCAAUCCCUUCCGCACCAGAUCUUAUAUGCUCCUUUCUGUCAUUUGCUCAUCUCCUCCCAGUUGACGACAACGGGAGCCUUCGCUCUACCGAACAGACAUUUUGUUUGGAGUUAUCAACAAAUUAAUAAAUUGAAAUAUCAUUUCCAAUUCUUUAUUUGAAGGAAAAACCAACAAAAGUGAAAAUUAUAUCUUUUCAACAGUAGAAGUCCAUGGAAAUUUUCCAUACGUUCUGCUUGGAAUCCGAGUCAGAAUCUUGACUCACAACGUCUUUGCUCUAGCUAGAAAAGCAUGCGCAAGUUGUCCGUACAGUGCGGAAGGAUCAAAUGAGCUGCGUACGUCCCGUGAGGGCUGAUCUCUGCCACUGUUCUCGAUCGCGCGUAAUUAAAUGUCUCCGGGCGGUACGCACAGACGCUGUCUCCACAAAUCUGACGCGCUGUGCUGUACUGUACUGCUGUGUUGCGCCUCUCCCAAUUAAACGUCGAUCUCACGCAGUACUACGCGACUUCGUUUUGAUUUAAUGGUGGGAAUUACCACCACCGACGGCGCCCCGAGGGCCGAGACUCUGACCGACCCGCCGGCCGGUACACUGCAGAUGCGUAAUGGUGCCGGCACAUCAAUAGCCCGUUGCUCAGCAGAUGAGAUAUUGAGAUCGAGUCGUCGGUCGAUCGACCCACUCGAUCUGGGGGGACCCGGACCUGCAGCAGCAGAGAUCUGCCUGUUCCCCUUCCAAAUUUCAAUUAAGUAGCUUCGUCGUGAUACGACGGUUUCAGCUGGCUCUGAUCAUUUUACCAGUCCGGUAUUGCGCACGAUGGGCAGUAAGCAGGAGUACUAUGCUCCACUAAUCGUGAAUCGUGUUCAACCCAAAUGGUGCUCGUUCACAUCACCACCGGACCAGUCACGGCUAGCAGCAUGCUUUGCAUCCUUGCCAAUGUGACGACGACGACGGGAAAUUGUAAGAGCAGAAAACCAUGUAUGACGACGAAGUACGGCGUCAACUCACCUCACUGUUACUACUUUUAUACGUUUCACGGCGCUUUCAACUUUUACCUUCUACACUAGCUAGCUAGAUAAUCUGACUUAUUUUCAAUUCCGCUCUCUGGAUAUCUGUCCAUCGAUCCAGCCGGAUACAUCCUUGCGUCGUCGUGCUCGAUCACAUCGAUCCUGGGUACGCUCUACGCUAUGUAGACAUAGGGAUCUGAUGUAUCUGAAGUUACCUAGCUAUAUGGAGAAUGAGGGAACACUUGAUAAUGGACGCGCGAUCUUUCUCCGUUGACCUCAUAUCGGCUUCCCGCCCAGUCGUUGCUAGGUUAAUUACCUCUUAAUUAAAUUCUUAAUUAAACCAUCGAUGCAUAAGAUUUUGAAACCACAUCAAUAUGGAAAGUAGCGGAUCGACAGGCUUCAAUUGUUAGGAUUUUAUUAUCUGCUCGUCUCCCGAAAAAUAUCCCCUUGCCCUAACCGCCACCCAGUCUAGAUUGCAUCUCGCCGGUUGGCCGGCCCAGUCCUAGAGCUGCAAAUUGGUGACACUCACGGUACCCUUUGAUUCUCCUUAGUUCAACCAAAUGAACUAAAAUUCUAAGAUGACAUAAUUUUUUAGAAAAUUAGUUCAUUUGUUUAAACUAAGGAUGGUCAAAGGGUACCCUGAGGGUCACCAUGUUGCACCUCUACUGGUCCCUAUCUCCUGCGCUUGGUGUUAUAGCACGUAUUUAAAGGAGAGGGUUUGAUCAACCGGCAGUGGCGCUAUGGUGGUGAUGGUAGCACUAUGCAGUUCAAAAAUAAGUUUUUCCAACUCCUCAUCGAUGGCGAUCUCGCCGAUGACAUUGAGGAGUACGGAAAAGUUGGUCGUUGUUCUUCUGAAGUGGUGGAUCUAGUUUUGUGUUUCUGUUUUACAGGCAAUCUAUGUGUCUUGGUUUAUUGGUUCCUUUUCCAAUCGGCAAGACUCGGCCAGUUUCGACCUCAUCGUGGAAUUAAUGAGGUUAGGUCUUUUCGGAUCCGUCUGGCGGGAUCUAAGAUGGUCAUCCAACCCUCUUUGUCACCUGGUGGAGCCAGCGCCCAACCACCCCGAGCAAUAACCCAGGCUCCUCUAAUUAAACCUUCCUUAACAAAAGUAAGCGAGAUGAUUAAAUUAGCAAAUACUAUGGGAAAAUUUUCGUUUAGAUAGAAUGGCAUAUAUCUUGCCCAUGCUCCAUGGAUCAGCUAGCUCCGCCAAUGCUUUUUAUCCGCGACGGUGGUAUGUAUCACCGUCGCCGGCGUCUUUUGUCUCUGACCCGCGGUGACUUCCUGACUGCUACAUCAACAACGUUUCCUAGCUCCGAUGUGGUUCAAAGGCCCGGAGGCAGCAUCGACCUUCGCUCCUGGCGCGCCACCAGCGAGUGCAGAAAGAAGAUAACGACGUUUACCUACAAAAACUUGAGGGUAAUUUUAUAAGACUUUAAAGAUGUUUCUGUAAGGGUUGGUUGAUUUGAAAUAUGACGUUGGUCUUCUCGCAAAAAAAAACCUAACCUAAUGUUAAGAAUCUUUAGGCCAAGUUGAACAUGGCUCUUACGAAUCUAGGAUUUCUAUUCCUACGAAACAAGUAUUACACAUAGCCAUAGGAAUAAAAUUAUAAGAAUUGAAAUUUUGUAGAAGUCUAAAAAUACUGUAAAGUGGAUGAACCGUGCUAGCAUAACAGUAGUACGUACAUAUGUGGAAGAACCCUUUCGAUCAUCAGCGUGCUUUGGAGCUGGAUUCAAGACCAUGCAUGGCUUAAUUGCACGUUGUGUAGUACUCGCAGUACUCUUUCAUUCGAAAAUAUAAUGCAAGAUUGACUUUUUAGGUUCUCCGAUUCACAAAUUUGACUUAAAUAUUGACUUAUAUACAAGUUAGAUACAAGUUAGUAAAAAAUAAUAUGAAUGCAAGUUUCUUUUUUGAUAGAGAACUGUAAGGGAUACCCAUACAGUAUAAUAGUAAUAGGAACCUAAAUUCGCAUCCGUGAGUAUUUGAACUCAGGUGUUGGGAUUAUACACCCACUUCCUAGCUCACUCCCUUGAAUUAAAGUAUUUUGCUAAAGGUAUAACUCUCGCAUGCCCAAUCCAUUUAUUUUCAGUGGUCAAUGUUAUUUGUCUGCUCUUAGUCAAGAUAAAGAUAUUUCUACAAUUUUUGUAUCACAGUAUCACACUAUACUACAUCUUUACAUCACAUAUUUUCUUAAUUAAUUUUAUAUUUGUUUCAGCAUUAGUUACAAGAGUUAUAUUAGGGCAACUCCAGCGGAACGAUCCAUUUUCGGCCGGGUCGGUCCGUUUCGGUCCGGAGACCCAAACUUCGGCUCAAUGGGGCGACUCAUUUCCGCGCAUUUUGGUCGGUCGGUCAGUUUCGGUCCGUCGAGAUGCAUUGCCAACCCAAAUCUGGUCCGAGUUUGCAUCGCGCGCGGACGGCGAAAACGAGCGCGGGAUCAAGGAGGCAUCGAGGAGGCCAAUGCGGCGGCAAGGAUCAAGAAGCCGAGGCCGCGAUGCUCGCCCAGGAGAUAAGGAUCUCAUGACGGCCGACUUGAGCUCCUAGACCCAGACAGGCGAUCUUGGUUCGAGGCCAGGAGGAAGAUGAUACAAGAUCGAGAUGCGCCCUCGCAGGACCGAGAUGCAGCCUCGCCAUCAAGUUGAUCGCCCUCAUUUGGAUCCAACGCAGGGAUUUUUUUCUCAUAAUGAACUAUGCUAGUCUGCCGGUGAUGCCUAAACAUUGAUAUGUUGAUUUGCUUGUUAAUUUGCUUGCUAUUUUGGCCAUCGGUUGCCCUCAAUUGUUGCAGGUGGCCAAUUAACACGGGAUCGGCCACGCAAACGGGAGGUAUUUGAAUUUGGGCGCCAAAUAUGGGUCGCAGCGCUGGGGAAGGGGGGGCGACCCAAACGGACCAAGGCCGGGCACGAAAGCGGUUUGCGUCCGACGCACGACCCAAAUGGACCGAUCCGAACAGAAAAAGCGGUCCGUUUGGAUCCCGCUCGAGUUGCCCUUCGUAACUUAUUAACGUGCGACGUGUUUUAUUGACACGUAGAGUCGUAGACAAAUUAAGAUGACUAGAUGUUGUGCGUGAAACAAAUAAAUGCGGCAGUGGUACACGUGCCUGCGUAGAUAUUGCACUCUAGAUUAGGGGAGCUUGCUGAGGCUGCUCAUAAUGGGAGUAACAUAGGUGGUAACAUAAGAACCAACUAAGCAAAUUUGGUGAUGUGACAUGCUAUUAAUGAGAAAAGAGAGGUUUGUACUCCCUCCGUCCAACAAAUGAUGUCUCAACUUUGACUAAAUUUGAAUGCAUCUAUACACUAAGUCAUGUGUAGAUACAUCCAAAUUUUGACAAACUUAAGACAUCUUUUGUUGGACGGAGAGAGUAGUAACUAGAUAUGUUAUCAUAACAUCACACAAACCAAUGUAAAAUGAUUUUACAACUUAAUAAAUGACACAAUUCAUGACACUACACAUAAGUUAUUAUCCACUAUGAAGGUAGUAAUUUAGACUAAUAACAUAACCACGUUACUAUUUUAAAUUACUCCUCACUGACCAGCAAGUUUGCGUUGCAGAUUAAAUAUAGUACAUGCAUGUAACAGCGUGUGCGACAACUGCAAAGGCAAUCCCAGAAUCUCACAAAACGAGCAAAGCUGUAAGCACUUUUUUCAUGCAGACGAAAGCUAUGACCCUGUCUUGCUCUUGAGGUUUCCUUUGGCAUGCAGAAUUGGAUUGUGGGCUUAUUUACCCAUUCGAUUUUAACGGGGAAUUAUUAGUUAAUAAACUCCUGAUAGCAUGGAGAGGCUUGCUAGCUGUAUUUGAUAGAUCUAAUAAUAUACUUCGCACGUAUUAAUAUAGUACUCUCUUCGUUUCUAAAUAGUUGCUGUUUUAGUUGCAGGGAGUACUAUCUACACUUCGUUUGUUCAGAUUUCAUUCAACUGUUUUUUUAGUCAGCAGGCCCCGCUAGUGGUGGAGCUAAAAAAUUACUUUGCAUGAGGCCAUCAUAGUGUAUGAGAGUUAAGAGAAAGUAUAAUUGAGAAAGAGAAGCUCCGGACCAAGCUUAAAAUCAGUGUAAUUUAUCAACAAAAAAAUCUCAAGACCCAGGCCACGGCCCGCCUUGUCUCCGCAUAUGGGCCCCGCGGCUUCUUAUAUUAACAAACCACAGCGUAACAACAGGAGAUACAAAUAAGUAUGCAUUCAAUUGUGCAUUUGUGUUAUACUGUUUUUGUGGUUUGGGACGCGACACUGUCGCUAGUAAUAUUUACCUAUAAUUGAAGCCCACAAUAGGGUAGAAUCAAUCCUCGCUCCCGUGCUGAUUUGUUUUGGCCAUCUUAAGUACUUGUUCUUUAUUCUCAUUUCCUAUUCUCACCUUUGGAAAAUGAUGAAAGAAACAAGAAAAGUGAAAAGUGUGGUCGAUCUAGAUCUUGGACGCACGCGUCUAUCAAUUCAAAUAGACCGAAUAAUUACCAGAAUGGAAUGAAAAUGGGAGGAGAAUGAUGUGGGAAGUCAUUCUUGUUGCACCAUGAUUGCUUCAAAAGAAAAGGAAAAGAAUAACAUCUUAGGGGUGGUUUAGAGACAGUAGCAAAGGGGAGAAAUAAAGGAGAGAAACGCAGGUGGCCAGCAUGACAAGCUGAUGGAUGCCAUUUGUUGCAUGCCUCUUCUCCCUAGCUAUCUCGUUUGUUUUCUACUCCGUACCUAGCUACUCUCUCCGUUUCAUAAUUCUUGUCUCAAAUUUGCUUUAAAAUGAAUGUGUCUAUUUCUAAAAAAUGUCCAGAUACAUGUAAGAUGACAAAAAUUAUGGAACGGAGGGAGUAGAUUUCUUCAUCCACUCCAUUGGCGUGCAAGCCAAGAUGUGUUGUGUGUUAUGUAAAUGUAUGAUGCAUGCAUGUACAUGUGUGCCGAUGGGGCUGAAGUUGCAUCAAAGCAACUUCUUUGGAUGCAACAAGAGAAAGGCAAGUUUAAUUGUUGUGAACGAUGCCUGUACCCCCCACAUGAGGUGGCAUGUUCCCCUCUGAAAGCAUGGGUGUUUGUGAUCUUUAUUUAGGCCCUGGUGACGAUCUGUAACCAAUGCAAGCCCCUGAUUGAGGAAAAGGAAAAGGACACUUUUGUGGUACCCCCAUGAGUGAGCAGUCGCCUUAACUAAAACAAACAAAUCCUGAUAUGGUGCCCUGGAAAAGGGGGGAAAAGAAAAGAAUAUAGUAGAGUAAAAGUGAGACGAGGAGAUCUCAUCUUUUCCAAGGUUGUUCAUGACCCACUUGAACAUGUCUUGGACUUUGAUCACGAGAGAGAAAGAUGUGUCUCAUGCCAUUGCUUCCACCGCAUCCCCAUCCACACAAGGACACGCACCUUCAGUUCAUCUUUGCACCUUAGCUAUAACUUGCUUUAUUCAAAUACUCCAACGUCUUUACCUUUCUAGUAGCUGCUUGCGAAUCUAUAUAUCUAUCUACCAAAUUCAUGGAACUAUCUAAUGAUGAUGGAUCACACCUUUGUUUGGCAUGGUGGUGGUGGUGUCUCUGGAUCCAUUUGGAAUUGAAUUCCUUGCUUCUUUCUCAUGGGCUGCCGCAUGCACCGUCAUAGGAAGUUGUGAUGUUGUUGUGGUGGUGUGUCAAGGUCCAACUGCCCAGAUUAAAGCUCCCCUAAAAAUUAAAGUAAUAAGUGCAUACGCAUGUAGUAUAGAUCGAAUAGGUCGGAUGAAAAGCAGGCAUGCAUGGUUUGGAAUGGAUUGGAUGCUAUGCGCCUAGGGAGGGGCUCAUCUCGAUCACAUUCCACUAUGGCAGGUUGGCCUAACUUGUUCCUUCCCGGUGGAGUGGUGCCCUGCUGCCUGCUGCUAGCUAGUACAGUAUUAUUGCCGUCCAUUGUGUUGGCCACCUAUGUAAAGGUGGUGUGGUGCCAACGCCUUUGGCGCCAUUGAAGUCAUCAUCGAUCGGGUGGCUUCUGCUUACCACGUCACUGUUACUCUUGGCUAGAGUACUGUUGUCUCGUUUGCCAUGGCGGCAUAUGCAUGCGUGCAUGCUUGUGCAACUGCACAAUGAUUUUUAUUUGCUCGGCUGAUUAGUUCAGCAGUAAUAUUGAACAGCCUUUAAAAUAAUACGAACUAAAUAAUCAUUUUUGAAAGUAAUAUUGACGUCGAUUCCGUAAUCAGCUUCUGUUAAUUUGCUCUCUUAAUUUCAGUCGUGCCUUAAUUUCAGUCGAAUUGUUGAGUUUGUGGACGAAACACAAGUUACAUCCAUUUAAACAUGCAUGGAUCAUGCAACUAAGUAGCUUGUGGAAGUUAAUUAGUUCCAAUCGGUUUGGGCGAGACCAACUGGAACUAAUCAGCUUUGUCCAGGCCAACUGAAACUAAUCAGCUUUGCCUAGACCAACUGAAACUAAUCGGGUUCGGCCAGGCCGACUGGAGUAAAUCGGCCUGGCCCAGACCGAGGGCGUAUUAUUUUUUAUUUUUUUAAAAAACGUGUAUUAUUUUAAAAAAUGAUUAAAUAAUUUGUAUUAUUUAAAAAAAAUUAGCGAAGGCCAAGUCCCUAGUGCUAUUAAAAUAUCCUUCAACCUUGUAAAUAGUGUGGAUUCAUAUGUUGAGGUAUUUGUCCGGUGCCCAUACCUUCCAGACGAGGACAUCGAAAGGCUGAGGUAGCCAUGCAUAGACAGUGUAGAGCACAACUUAUUAGUUUUUCCUGCAAAGAUCGACCGGCUUUAAUUUUAGCCAACUCCUAGAGUUUCUGCUUCCAUGUUUGUUGUUGCUCUUGAUUGUGACGAUUGUCGUUAUUGGGGCAUGAAUCCGCAGAAGCUGAAGCUGAACAGCAAGGUGACGCCGACAUCGAACUAAUCCGCAGACCACAGGCAUUAACUUGCUACCGCUGCCUACCAGGCUUCAUCAUAUCAGGCCGGGGAAUCCAUCAUAUCUGAAAGUGCAACGCAUAAUUACUCAGAUGGCUGAAGCCCGCACAUGCACACAUAUAUUGCCACACAGAAUUGUCCACAUCAGCUGCAUUGCAUUGCAUUGCCGGGCCAAAAUGAUGUGCCUUUGGAAGAGAGGACGUGCCAGGCGUGCUUCGUUAUUCCACAGCGACCAAAGACAUCCCCGUGUAGUUGGCACGAUGUUCACACGAGUAUCGCCAGGACCAGAAUGAAUAUUGGCCCGACUAAACUGGUUUCUCGACAGUCGACACCACGGCCCAGGAUUUACUGCAGCCAUUCGUACAUUGCAGCCCGGCCCAUAUCCCCUUCCCGUUUUGAUCACUUGUUAAUGGUUCACAUGACUUUUGUUUCUUGUUUCUUUUUUAUCUUUUUCAUCAUCAAUUAUGCCCUACAAAGGUUGUGUUUCUGUUCAUAGUGUGUCCAUAAAUCUUAGACUUCCACUCUGUGGACGACACAUGCGUCUAUUGAAAAGCUAUACGGUCUAGUUUAUGCAGCCUUCGUAUACUCAAGUUCCAUUAUAUUUAGGACCGUCAAGAUAUUUAACGCAUAGAUUCAGAGAUUUUAGCUCCAAAUCUUUGUUGCUGAUGUUUGUUUAAGUUUAUUCCUGACAGCAAAGAACAUUUGUGUGAAUUGGUUGAAAUGUUUUUUUUUAUAAUCAAUAGGCCUCUCAUGUCGCUGAUAUUUGUUUAAGUUUAUUCCUGACAGCAAAGAACAUUUGUGUGAGUUGGUUGAAAUGUUUUUUUUUUAUAAUCAAUAGGCCUCUCAUGUCGCCCCGUUCCAACUGCGGAACCUAUGUUUCGGCCAAAAUCACCCACUCCGGAAAAUAAUCUUAAAAGAUCUGGCCACUCCUCCAGGCUGAAAGACCAAGUACAUCUUGUGACACGUGAAAAAUUCAAUGCAUCACAAUCAUGAUUAUUAUUUUUAUUUUCUCACUUUUGAUGCUUUGAGAUUAGUUUUAGAGACUAAUCCAUCCAAGGGCAGAGAGACCUCGUCACUUGUCACAGCCCAAUCAAAAGGAAUCGGAACAUCCGUGACAGUUGAAGCCUAGUGCGGUGCGGCAACUUCAAAUCAAGAUUUCAAGUUGCGAGGAACCUUUGGCUUGUCGCCAGCAUGACAUACUGACACGCCCUCAAAAAGGGAGGGAAAUGUGUGCUCCAGCAUAUGUACAAAGUUAAGCUUUAAAAAAAAGCAUAUGUACAAAGUAUAGUACAACAUAAAAAGUGGCACCAGAAAUAAAGUUAUUCUCAACAAGUUCGAACCUUGCAAAAGCCACGUACAAACCGUGACCAUUGAAAAAGAUGGCUGGAAGAUGUGCAUCGCCUUGUCAUGCAAUACUUAAGAGUUCAAGAGAAUAGUAGACCCACACACAAACAAAUCACUUGGGAUGCAGCAUGAUCCAAUGAAUAAGCAAAAUGCAUCUACAGAAUGUCAAAACCAGUGCUCACAACCUACUUUGAUUCAAAAGGUAAAAACUUUUGUCACAAAAAAGAAUGAUUAUUCUUGCUCAAACUCUUUAAAAUCGGACAGGGGAAAUGUAAAGAGCACAAAAUGGUUGCAACGGAUACUUGCCAGAAUCUCCUUUCAAGGACACAAUCAGACAAAUAGCAUCGUCAUUUACAAUGAUGCCAUAACAAUCUCGCCUGUAAUUGCUGAUACACGUCGAAAACAGAAAAGACAAUUGUCGAUCCAAUUGGACGGAAUACAUACACCGGAAGGUUAUGCAACAGCUAAACAUAGAAUUGUUCAAAUGCUCCAUACUGAAUACCAAUUAGACAGAAGGGUAUACUUCAGAACGUGAAGAAGAAUAUGUCAUUAACAGGGUAUCUAACAAAAUGUCAUUAAAUGAGUGCCAGUGUAUAAGAACGAAAAGUGAUAGAGCGCCACCAAAAUACAAGACUCUAGUGAGAACCCAGUGGUAACACAUACACAGUCAUUCAAAGAAAAAGAUUAAACAACACUCAACCCACUAGAGCCAAAGAGGGAAAGUUGCAUUCAUAUGGUGUCUUCAUUGGAAAACAAAGGCUUUGCAUUUCUCUGCUGCUGCUGCAACCUAGUAAAUCCACACAAAAAAACAUUACUUAUUUUUUGAGAGGAAAAAGGCAUUUCUUCUCAACCGCACAAAGUUAAGAAUGAUUAUCAGCUCACAGGAAUAACAGAAGACCCAAUCACCCGCAUCAGCAAAUAGGACAAAAAAACAGAAAACGGCUAAAAACCGAACAGACUAAUCAACGAGGGAUAGGAUGCAAAUUGAACAGGAUGGAAUGUUAUGAUACUAACUGAACAAUCUAAAUAGCUUGAUCUAAACACCAAAAGAAAACAGAAAAAUGGCACAGAACUGAAACAACAUCGACACAUACAGACAUGAUUGCAGUUUAUAAGUGCAUAUAUGACAAUUGCAAGUAACAUCAAGCAAGUUAACAACGCUACUGGAGUCAAGCAGUGUAACAAACAGUGACUUAGUUCAUUAUCACCAACACCAAUCCUAGGAUGGCUAAUUACUCUAACUCAGUUCAUUGUCAAGUCCAGCUUCUAGCUAGUGAAUCAUAUUUUCCAUCGGUUGAUCCAACUCAGCACACAAUCAGUUGUGUACAGCAUACGUACCACUGAAGGAAUAGCAUGAUUAACCUCCAACUGCCUGAACUCAUCAUCCAUGUUGGGCUCCUUUCAUCCUUUGCACCUUUCUAUCCCAGCACUGGCAACGCUGGAAUGAAGAAAUUAGACUCUGAGGAUCUGCAGUUUAUUGGCGAAUGCAAUGGCAACCCAGUCAGGCUGGGUUGCUGACCACUGCAGCUGCUCAACCUCUGCUCCUGCCGUGUAAGCCAGUAUGGGGUCAAGACCGCCCUCUGCUGCUGCAGCCGCAGCAGCAUUGCCAUUUCCAUUGCCACUACUAUUGUUCCCAGUGCCCAUGGAGGAGAGGUCCCAUAUCAGUGCCUGUGAGUCAUCCCCAGCCGUGCAAAUGUGGCAUGAAGAGUGAGGCGCCCAUGCGAUAGCAUUGACAGGGGCAUGGUGGCGGUGGAGCUCGACCACAGGCAGUGUUGGGUAGCGUAUAUCAAGCACAACAACCUUGGGGCUAUCCAUGAUGAUGGUGGCCAUGUACCUCGGGUCCUGCUUGUUCCACCCCAGCCUAACCAAUGGCGUCGGUGACAAAGCCCCACCAUCAGAAGCAGCAGAAUUGGAGCCACUGCCAGAACUACUCUCAUAGAUAAUUGUGGAAUGCUCCUUAUCGCGAAGAUCAAACACACGGACAGAGCCAUCCGCAGAGACAGAUGCAAAGACACCAGCGCCACCCCAGGCUAUGUCGUAGACCUCUUUGUCAUGGGCGAUGAGCUGAGUAUCUACGGCCUCGCGCUCGACAUCCCAGAUGGUGCAUGUGGUGUCGAUGGACGAUGUUCCGAUGCGACGCGGGUCGGCAUCAUUCCAGUCGAAGGAGGUGAGAGGGCCGCAGAAGUCGCUGUUGCGGUUGCCGUUGAGCUCGCAGCGCAGCACAGCGCCCGGCUGCUGACCGGCGCUUUCCACGCCGUUGCAGCGGACGGAGCCAGAGUUGGAGUUGGCGGCAGCGUCGGCAGCGGCGUCGUCGUCGUCCGUGAUACGCCAGAUGCGGAGGAGGUCGGCGGAGGUGGCGAGCAGAUCGGGGCGGACGGAUUGGGGGUCCGGGACGAACAUGGUCUUGGUGGGCGGGAAAGGGUGGUCGAAGGAGAGCACGGGGGUGAUGUCGCCGGAGGACUCGUCGAGCUGGACCACCUCGACGCGGUUGACGACCUGUUCCAGCAGGCUGGCGAUGGCGAGGCGGUACUUCUUGUCGCGCCGCACGCUCCAGUUCAUGCCGUAGAUGUGCCACGGGGCCUCGUAGGUGUAGAUCUCCGACCGCUUCGCCUCCGCGCCGCCGCGGCUUCCGCCGUUGCCCUGCUCCUGAUCCGCCCAGCCGUCGCCGUCCCCGACUGCGCCGCCGCCACCCAUGUUGCCGCCGCUCUCUUAAGGGGAGAAGGGGAAAUUUUUGGAUUUGGGGGUUCCUGAAUCUCGUCUUGAUAGGGAAAGGGGAAAAGUGGUGUGCGGCGAGGAGGUGCGGGUUCUGGGUUUGGUCACGACGAAGAGCCGAGAAAAAGGUCACAACUCACAAUGCAGUGCAGUAGGGCUGCGUCAGUCGGGCCGAACGCAAGGCCCAAUAAGGACGGAGAAGCAUGAUUGAUGACCCGGAAUGGUUUCCCUCAGGUCGGCCCACAAUUCCCAUUGGAAGAAGAGGAGGGGCGUUGGGGAACAGAGGACGAUAGCGAGGUCGCCGGAGAGAGAGAAAGAGAGAGCGCGCGGCGAUGGCGUCCGGCUGGGGAAUCAACGGGAACAAGGGGCGGUGCUACGACUUCUGGGUGGACUUCAGCGAGUGCAUGAGCCGCUGCCGCCAGCCCAGCGACUGCGUCCUCCUCCGCGAAGACUACAUGGAGUGCCUCCACCACUCCAAGGAGGUGCGUGUUUAUCCUCAUCGCCCCCCUCUCCCACCCUGACCAUAGACGGAUCCAUACAGAUCCAUACCUCUUCCAUUCACCACCCGCAACUACCACAUAGAUAUAGGUAGGUAGGGAUCUAUCCUUCCUUGUGUCAUCUAUCGCCGCAAGAAAUACUGGCCGCUGGUCUAGAUCCGUCUGCGGUCAUAGGUUACCCUGGAAUUUCAGAACCGUGCAGUGUUUGGUGUCAGUAUCGGUGCGAAGGGGAAAAAUGUUUCUAGUGAAAUCGAGCCACUGGUGGCUUAUUACUGACAUGUGCUGUGUUCAUUCGUAGGCAGAGCCUAGUUGUAAUUAUCAGUCUUCAGAACCUGUUCCGCGUAGACAAGCUUAUUGAUUCAGAUAAUUAUUAUUGCUUCUGGGAUGGAAGUGUAGAAAUCAUAUUGACCUACCUAUUUCCUUCUGGGAUGGCUGACGAGAUCCAAUGCUGAAUCAUGUUUCCUUUAAAUGGAACUGUCCCUGGUUUCUUUGAACCAAUAGAAAUUCAAAGUUCCUAGUAGAGAUAUUUUCUGGUCGUGGCAGAAGUGAACCUGAAUAUGCAGGCUUCUAGGGUCUGUAUUGGGGACGCUUUUUUAUGUGUAGGCAUGAUAAUACCCUUUGAAUUGAGGUCAAAUUCUAAAAUUGAAUUCUGAAACAUCCAGACGACCUUUGAAUUGGAAUCAUAAUUCCAAUUCCUCAUUCUAAGCCUAAUUCUACAUCCAAACAGGGUGUUAGCAACAUGGUUACGCUCGGGCUCAUAUAACCUGAUACAUAAGUUUCUUUUCUGUAUUUUGCACCGUAGAUUUUAUCAAGCUAGAUGGAAAAUCCAGUUGAGGAUUACGGGCUCCUUCAAAAAUCUAGUAUCAUGUUGAUCUACUUAUUUCCUUCUGGGAUGGCUGACAAGAUCCAAUGCUGAAUCAUGUUUCUUUUCAAUGGAGCUGUCCCUGGUUUCUUUGAACCAAAAGAAAUUCAAACUUCGUAGUAGAGAUAUUUUCUGGUUGUGGCAGAAGCGAACCUGAAUAUGCGUGCUUCUUCUAGUCUGAACUCUACUAUUCUGCACUUCCAUUCACUGUGUUGGUUGACUUCAAGAGCCAAGAUGAGCUGAUUGAUUCAUUGUGGUAGCAUCUGCACUUGGAAUUUCAGACGGGCCUUUGUGAUGUUUUUUGCCAGUAUCGAUAUGGAGGAACUGGUUGUUCAUGGCAUAUUGACAUUGGCAUCAGACAUCCCCUGAUUUUCUUUGCAGUUCAUUUUUCUUCGCUAUAGAAUUGAGCUUUAAGGGUUCAUCUGAUGUUCAUUAUAGGCAGCAUCAGUGUAGCCAACUAGGGAGUUGAAAUUCCUCAAAAAUCUAGUAUCGGCGUGUUUGGAUAGACGAGGGUAGAGAUUCCUUAGAAUAGUGAUAUUGGAAAUGCAGCAUGGGACAAUAAUAUGCUUCAUUUCAUCGUGUAGUGUAGACAAGUUAACUUAGAGUGCUGCAAUGGAACGCGUAUUGGAGUCUUAUGUGUAAUCUCCUAGGUUCGUUUGGACUUUAGAAAUGAAUUGGGUCACCAAUUCAUUUUUGUGUUGAAAUGGAAUUGGUGUAUGAUUAUAUUUCUUUCGUUUGGAUUGCUUGUGAAUUGGUGUUGUGGAAUCACAAACAAAUUCUAUUCCAAAUAUUGUUUGGAUGUUACCCUUAGGAAUUGAUCCAGUACUGGACGCUAUCUCCUCCUGAGCACUGGUACACAAUCACCACUCGACCCAGCAGUUAACGUUAAUGUCCCUUCCGUUAGCCUCCGCUAUCCCAUGUUCUGACACCUUUUUCUGCCCAAUGUGUCAGUGUCAUGACCCUUCCCUUUGUCUCUGCUUCUACUGCUUGCUUUACAGUGUACGAGUUAUCAAUCAAGUAGUGACUUGCAUGCACGCAGCAUGUGAUAGCUGAAUGUGUCUUUGCAAGACACUAAUGUGACUCGAUCUACAAACUAGCGAGACUUGAUCUUAUAACCAACAAGGCCGCAACAGAGAAUGUGCUAACAUGGAGGCCACAGGCCAGCACUCGCUGGUUCUCAGACGUGCUGCUCGUCAGCCACAGCUACUCCCCUUCCUAUGGCUUGACGUAGGCAUUGGGAGAAUAAGCUAGAGUGUGUGUUGGUUGAGGGCUCUCGUGGCAACUCAGCGAAGGCAGAUCUAGCCGGAGUUGAGGAAGUAGAGGCUGUAGGCAUCAGGAGUUGUGGGGAGCUCUCCGGGCCGAGCUCACGAUAGCAGCGGUCAUUGAUAGGAGUCAGCCCGUGGGUGCUUGUCGGCGAUGGUUGCCCGAAGGAGGUCGCAAUAGCAGCAGUUGCCAGAAGGAGUUUGCCCAUCAAAGCUCGUCGGCAGCGGUUACCGGAAAGAGCUCGCCGGCAGUGGUCGACAGUAACUUGCAGUGGAAUGCUGUGCUCGUGAUAGAGUCAGAACGUUUCAGCUCAUACGAUGGAUUCCAGCCUAUACAGAGCUUCUAGGGUCUGAAUUGGGGACGCUUUAUGGGUAGGCAUGAUAAUACACUUUGAACUGAGGUCAAAUUCUAAAAUUGAAUUCUGAAACAUCCAGACGACAUUUGAAUUGAAAUCAUAAUUCCAAUUCCUCAUUCUAAGCCCAAUUCUACAUCCAAACAGGGUGUCAGCGACAUGGCUACGCUCGGGCUCAUAUAACCUGAUACUUAAGUUUCUUUUCUGUAUUUUGCGUCCUGGAUUUUAUCAAGCUAGAUGAAAAAUCCAGUUGAGGAUUGCGGACUCCUUCAAAAAUCUAGUAUCAGCAUGUAUGGAUAGACUAAGGUAGGUAUCCAUUAGAGUAGUGAUCAUCUGGUUCAAAAUCCAUUGUAGGCUUGAUUGCAGGAAGUACUAUUGGGGUUUCAAGUUUUAACCUGUUUCAUUUCCUUGUUUUUUUGUACACAACAAGGUUAAUAGUAGCAGUUGGAAAAGAUGGCAUGUUGAAGUGUUGUGUUGUUACCCAAAUAACCCACUACUUAGGCUUCUUGUCUAUAACUUACUCCCUAAAUAUUGUGAAACAAACUAGUAAUUCAUUCGGCGAAUAUAUGACUAGAACUAGAAGAAAAAGGGAAUGCUGCGAAAAGGAGAAACAUUAUCUGCGUCUAUAUUUUCCUGGCAUGCCUGAUGCAAUAUUGUGCUGAACGAUGUUUUGUUUAAAAGGGAUAAGCUCUCGGUUUUUUAGAACCCAAAGAAAUUCUGAGCUUUACCUAGUAAAUUAUUCUACUCGGGAGAUAAAAUGAAGUUGGACGCAAAUCUCCGGUCUGAAUAUUAAUAUGCACUUCAUUUUCAUUAUGUUGCAUGAUUUUAAGAACUGAGAUGAGGUGAUGGGGAAAAUAUACUAAAGCCUUUGUGAUUUCUUCUGCUGCAGUUCCAGCGCAGGAACCGGAUUUACAAGGAGGAGCAACGUCAGAUAAGAGCUGCAGCUCGCAAAGCCAAGGAGGAAGCUGAGGGAACCCCUGCCGUUACAGCUCACCACUAGCGCCCCUUUUAAUUCUUUUUCUGUAUGUUUUUUGUUUGCUGUGAGCAUUUCUUUGGCUGGCUGUGAUGCUAUGAGCAGUGCAAUAAGUCUCCACAUUACUGUUGGACUACACAGACUUGUACACCUUGCACUUCAUGACUUCCAAAUCUUGAGUUAGCCUUUGUGGUGAAGUUUGUCCAGUGAUAAUGAUGCUUAAUUCAAUCACAGAACUUUUUAACAUUCAUUUCUAAUCUUCAUGAUAAUUUACUGGAAUUCGCAGUUGAACUUUCGUUUGUUUAAACUGCAUUAGAAGUUGAGGUGUUUGAAGUUGGGAUGAUCUUUGGCUGUUCCUGUUGCUUUAAAUGCUUGCACUCCCUCCUAUCCAUAACAAUUCUGGCUGAUUUAGUACAAAUUUGUACUGAAUCAGCAAAGACUUAUUAUGGAUUGGCGGGAGCAACAAUAUUGUUCAGGUUUCUACCUUUUCUGAUUGCUAACACAUUUAUGUGGUUAAGGGUGUUUGUCAUCGGACGACCUUACACAUGAAUUUCAUUAAAGUGCUUCUUGAUAAGAAGCUGCAACAACUGGAGAGAAGUUCAGAAUUUUGCUCUGAUGUUUAGUUGUAUGAUCAAGAUACAGUAAGUUGGCAAGUCACUGAAAAUUGGAGUAGUGUGCCUGCCAGUCCUGUUUAUGGUAAGCACAAUUACGGAACAAUGUUGCCAGAUCCUUCUGUUUUUUGACAAAUAGAGGGCAUUCCCUCCGGGGGCCGGUAUCCUGUGCAUCCGGAUGUCCCGUGCAUCCAGGGUCUGUCCACCGGCCGUUCCACAUCCAACGUAACAGAUUGGAAACGUGAAAUUUUUGCAAAUAAGCACCAUCAGCCUCUCUGUUUUAGUUUUGUCCUAUAUAUAAUUGUUAAACAAAACUCAGCUAAUGCAGUCGCCCCAAAUCCAGUUUUCCCUUUUCUGCAAUCAUCUUUACAAAUCUCACCGCGAUUUGGCGAUCCUCGAGACGGCGGCCAACGACGCAGCCCUGGUGUAUAAUCUGGUGCAUAACAGAGAUUUUUGCAAAUCUCUGUUUCACUGCAAAGAUCUGGUGUAUAAUCUGGCGGAGACCUGCAAGAACCCCGAGGACUUAGCUACCAACACAGCGAUGACCACGUCCUGCACGAGUGCAGGCGAAGGCCUGUGACCAUCCCGGCGACCUCCCUCGCCCUGUUAUGCUGGUGAUGAUGACCCUGUUCCGACGGAUGGGUGUACUGAACCCAAGUACAUUUACGCGUUGUGAAUUUUCAAACUGCCGACUGACUCAAUUGCUCUACAAAUUGACGAAUGUGAUGAUAGAAUUUGGUUCAGAUGCAAAUGAAUUGCUAGCUGAUGCGGAUGUACACCUCUUCAAAUUGAUUAGGAGAUCUGAAAAGAAGGUUGGACAGCAGGGAUGCCUGCAGAACCUGGACCUGAACGUGAUGCGAUUGAAGAAAAAUAAACAUCAGCUCAUCCCAGAUUGAUGCGUCUGGCCGGCACACCCUGAAUCGCCGGCCGAUCACACGAGGUCAUCAGGGUCGGGGUUAUUAGGCUAUUGAGUUAGGAAAAUAUGGUGUAAUUGCAAAGCAUGCAAUCUAAAUAACCAAGUUGAAGGCAGGCGGGCGUCUAAUUGUAAAUUUUCCACUUUUCUGAUCUGUGCCGUUUGGAGAUGUAUCGAGUGAUGGUGAGGCCGCGGAUGCAUGGAUACACGAAGGCAGCCGCCGGAUGCAUAAGAUACAGCGCCUUCCUUCCGGUUUCAUUAAAAAAAAACAACCAUGUGUCUCUUAAUACAACUUAAAUAGAUGGCAUCAAAAUGAAAAAUCAGAGACAAAAGCAGCGAGCUACUCCCAGCCUCUUGCACUCUAUAAACCUAAGAUGGCAUUAACAGCUACCACCUCUCUACUACACGCACUCACACCAAGCAACAUCUUGAUAGCAAACGUCGAGGAUCGAUCAGAAGUUUUUCACACAGUGCCCCUCCGCACAGCCUGAAACAACUAGUCAGCCGGAGAGUAAAUGGCGCCCACCCUUGUGCACGAUUAAAGGCUUCUUGCCACAACCGGUGUGCGAGCAGCUGCGAAGCAAUUCCUGUAGAAAACCUUUCUAUAAGCCAGCCCAAGAAUAUUAGAUCCUUCUGUUGUGGUGGUUUACCUUUACCACGUUUUUUGGGAUGUUCUCGGGAUGGCAUUUGUGCAUUAUUCUUGACGGAAAUGUUGCAAGGCCGUGGCCUACUUUUUCUCUAAAACCUGCAAUGUGAACUGUAAAAUUAGCGAUUCUGGUGAACAACGAAGUCUGCUCCCUGCUAACUGACAUGAAGUAUUGGCUAUUCCCCGAGGGCCGAUCUGAAUCCUGCUAUUGUUUUGAUCGAACAAGGCAGCUGCUAGAGCGGCAGACGGACGAUGCGCAAAGCAUGGUCCAGGGUUUUUAACUUCCUUUUCGAAAGAACAAAAAAGAUUAGCUGGCAUGUCUUCUAAUUGGAUAUUGUUAGUACCUUCGAAAAUAUUUGCGGUAGUUUUUUCCAAAACAUGAUAUGAUAUCGUACAAAUGGUUUGGAAAAAAUAAGGAGCUCAACAGUAGACAUUUCAUAUUUAUAUUGCUAAAUUUGCUCUAUCUUUACAGCUCGCACUAAUUUUAUUUUUCACAAAAACUUAUCAGAUUGUAAAAGAUAGCAACUCCUUGCAUGGUUAAUUAUCUCUAAGGUCAAGGUGCAUCAAUCCUGGGGGACGAGCUCUUCUGAAAUAUUGGGGCGAACGGUCUUCGGAUGCUGAAAGCCAUCACUUGGUGAGGCUGUCUUCAGGUUUUGAGAAGACAAUGGAUUUCUGAUAAUUUCAGGUCUUCAGGUCCAACUCCAGAGGUAAUUGUUUGAACUUGUGAUAAUCUCAGUGAAACAUGUAGUCCACGUUGUACGAUUUCCCGGUAGUCUAUUCUUGUUGUGUUACCCGCAUUUCAGUAUCUGCAAACCUGUGAUAUGUGGACUGCUUACAUGCUUUGCAUAUCCAGCUUAUUGUUGUAAACAUAACUUUCAAUACAACUCGAGUAACUGCAUGGGUCAAGGUUGGGGAAGAUUUGCGUAAAUUUCCCAUGAUAUAUUCUAGAUCGGCACUUGGAAAUCACUGAUCAGCAUCCGCUUCGUUUACUAACUCAACAAGCCACGCACACCAAGCUGAUCCUAGCCCUACAUGAUUUUUUUCUUUUGCGGGAAUGAUUUUCAUUGCCUCGACCAAUACAAACUAUGUAGCUCCCCUGUUUAGAUGUUUACGAAUAGUAAGUACAAAAUUCGCAAAUGCUAGUACAAGGUAGAUACGGAUCCAGGAUUCCAGGGAUUUAACAAGGGCAUGGCACCAGGGAACCUCAUUUCUUUGAUGCAAAAGUCACUGGGAGACGAAGGAGAUCCAUGGAUACAGUGCUGAUGCUAUUGGAUCAUCAGUAGGGCUUGAGGUAGUCAAAGAGAUGGUCACGGAAGGAAGAAGCCGUCUCCGUGCUCGCCGCCAGCGACCCGACGGCAGACGGCGACGACGAGGCCGUUGGUUCGCCGCCUCUCGGGCUCUCCUGGCACGUGCCUGCAGCUGGCGGCGGCAGAUUUCCCUUCCCUGUCUGUAUGUGCAGCGCCGUCGUCUGCGGCGGCCGCCGCCGCCUCUGCUGCUCCCUCCGCUUGCUCACGUACUCCUCGUGGAUGAACGCUUCCAUCCCCUUGCAACUAGAGGUCGCUGCAAAUCCCCGGGAAGAAUGUAGUAAGAUCUAGCUAGGAGGAGAAGAGAGGAGAUGAAGUGAUUGCCUGAUUGGUGAAGAGAAGCAGAAUGCCUGUGUCUUUGUAGGCGAUCUGGUCGACUGGUCAAUUAUUGCCGUGUUUUGACACUUGUACAAGCGAUGCCGGAUUAGGCCGCACUAGUGCCUGGGAGCAGAGUUAGGAGUAUAAAACUGACUACUGAUGUAAACAUGGACUUGUUGUUUGUCCGGAAUCGGAUACUACUCCUUCUUUCCUCCUGCUGCUGCUCCCCUCUCUCUCUCUAACUCGAUCUUAUCCGAUGCUGUUGAUUUGCUGCUCUGGUCCCUAUCUCUUACCUGAAUUACGACCUUAAGUAAUGCUUAC